Long non-coding RNA from Marmota flaviventris (yellow-bellied marmot), 488 nucleotides. RefSeq lists it as uncharacterized. Lineage: Eukaryota; Metazoa; Chordata; Mammalia; Rodentia; Sciuridae. The record is from RefSeq and is a predicted model, not a curated record.
CGGGUCAUUUACCGAUGUGGUUGUCCUCGAUGUGCUCGAUGAGGUCUGCCAGGGUGGGGAAGUGGAGUCCGCAGCCCCCGAAUCGGCAGAAGUCCUGCAGCAGAGGAAUCCUCCUUGGACACGCUAUGCAAUGUCUCAUCCAUGUUAACCACAAUCAAAUUUGCAUCUUAUCUUUCUUAUUCUAUACCCUGAUCCAAAAGACCCAUCAGAGGAAAAGGAUUCUAUGAAAGUUCAUCAACAGGAAAAUCUACAUCCUGAUGCAUAAGAGAUUCACAGUGCAUGUCUCUGCCUAUUAACACACCAAACCUCCAGCAGAAGAGUCUACAUGAAUUUGUUGAAUUCUGUCAUUUCCAAAUUUCCUUGAUCGUGGAAAUGUUUUUAAAAAGAAGAGUCAUUAUUAACAUCAUUAAUCAGCUAAAAAUCUGUUAUCCUUGGGAUUAGCUGUUGGAAACUGUGAAUUAUGUCAAUUAAAUACAUUCACUUGCCCA